Lotus japonicus is the source of this 1105-nucleotide long non-coding RNA. RefSeq lists it as uncharacterized. NCBI's taxonomy places the organism in Eukaryota, Viridiplantae, Streptophyta, Magnoliopsida, Fabales, Fabaceae. The transcript has 2 exons. The record is from RefSeq and is a predicted model, not a curated record.
AUCCGGUUAGGUGCUACAAGUGUGGUGUUGAAGGACAUCGUUCUCCUGAAUGUCCCAAUUCAGAAGCAACAUGAUUUAAGUGUGGCAAGCUGGGCCACAAAUCCUUUGAGUGCCUAGAAGGUAAAACUGUGGCAUGCUACAGAUGUGGAGAGUAAGGUCACAUCAGUACUAAUUGUGACAAACCCAAGAAGGAUCCUGCAAGGGGGAAGGUGUUUGCUUUAUCUGGUGCUGAGACUACUGCUGAGGAUAGACUAAUUCGAAGUACGUGCUUUAUUAAUGGUACAUCUUUGAUUGCCAUUAUUAUUAUGGGUGUGAUGCAUUCUUUAUUUCAUUGGAGCUUGAGAGUCAGAUGAGGGAGUCCUACCCGAAUUGUUCGUUUAAGGAAAUUUUCGAGGGCGAAAAUUCUUAAGUGGGGGAGAGUUGUAACACCCCGUUUUUAAUUAAAAUAAUGUUGGUAUUUUAUUUUAAUUAAGAUUAUAUUGUAUGGUGGUUUAAUAGGUGAUAUAAUAAUACUUUAAUGAAAUAAAAUAUUUUUUUUGUGAUGCUGGGUGUGUUUUAUGAAAUGGAAGAGAGCUAGGGGUGAAAGUUAGGAUUAAAAAUAGAGACAAGGACUAGGAGAGAUUUUAGGAUUUUUAGUUUAGCCCUUGAGGAAUUAGGUUUAGAUGGUUUAAUAAGGAUGGGGAAGCAGCUAAAGAAAAAAAAAAAUAAGAAAGAAGAUGACGCGUGAAAGAAGGAGAAAAAAAAAAGAAGAAGGCUGUGCGUGAAGUAGCAGGAAGAGAGGGAGAGCGGAUCGGCUUCGGAGAAUUCGAUCGGGAACGGGGAGUUGCACUCAAUCCAAAGGUAAUCAGGAGGAGUAGUCUAUAGCCUUUAUUUCGAGUUGGAGUCCUUGCUCUGAUACGUAGCACUCGGGGGGGAAAUGGACGCUUGUUUUCCUUCUGUUAUAAUUUGAAUUAAGUUGUUAUUUGAGAAGUUGUUUCUGUUUUAAGUUGUGGGCAAGAUACUAUGUUUUCUUUAAGUUUUAAAGACAUUGGAUUCGCUGCAUAACUAUUUGUCAAAGUGAACUAGUUCAAAGACUAAUUAACUGUCACAAGAGCAUUUAAGUUUA